This 442-nucleotide ribosomal RNA is filed under the name uncultured bacterium. Its description in RNAcentral is "partial 16S ribosomal RNA". It matches the Rfam family "Bacterial small subunit ribosomal RNA", at positions 338 to 795 of the family's 1533-position model. The record is from RNAcentral.
CCUACGGGAGGCAGCAGUGGGGAAUAUUGGGCAAUGGGCGCAAGCCUGACCCAGCAACGCCGCGUGAAGGAAGAAGGCUUUCGGGUUGUAAACUUCUUUUGACAGGGAAGAGGAGAAGACGGUACCUGUCGAAUAAGCCACGGCUAACGACGGGCCAGCAGCCGUGGUAAUACGUAGGGGGCAAGCGUUGUCCGGAUUUACUGGGUUUAAAGGGCGUGUAGCCGGGUUGACAAGUCAGAUGUGAAAUCCUGAGGCUUACCCGCAGAACUGCAUUUGAAACUGUUGAUCUUGAGUACUGGAGAGGCAGCCUGAAUUCCUAGUGUAGCGGUGAAAUGCGUAGAUAUUAGGCGGAACACCAGUUGCGAAGGCGGUCUGCUGGACCGCAACUGACGGUGAGGCGCGAAAGCGUGGGGAGCAAACAGGAUUAGAUACCCUGGUAGUC